Long non-coding RNA from Dermacentor silvarum, 487 nucleotides. RefSeq lists it as uncharacterized. Lineage: Eukaryota; Metazoa; Arthropoda; Arachnida; Ixodida; Ixodidae. The transcript is spliced from 4 exons. The record is from RefSeq and is a predicted model, not a curated record.
CAUAUAUGCUCCUGGUUGUCUGAGUAGUACAAGAAACUACCUCUGCAAUAAAAAUGACGCAUCUCAAGCUUCUGUCAUUCAUGGCGUUGGUUGCUCUUGGGUGAAUGGUCCGGACAGUUACAGAAAUGAAGACGAAGCUCUCGACGUUGGAGAUGAUUCUGCACGGAGAUCCGGAAAAGCUCUCGAGACACUCGGCCGAAUUUUGCAAGAAGGAGCUGCGAAUCCCCACAGCGAUGAUGUAAACGCCGCUGUCGCUGCUUUGGAGGUAGUCAGUGGAGAGAAAAACCAGCGGAGAGAAGACAGCGAGUAUUUCUUAAAGAAGAUCAAGAAAGCUUUGGGUACCGUCGCAAAAGCCGUUGUAGUGCACAAGAUUGCGGGUACCAUCGGCUGAAAUAUCUGUACCUUUCCAUGGUCGACGCGUGCAUGCCCAGUAGAUGUUUAGGGAUUCUUCAAGCCUCAAUAAAACAGCUGCAAGUGAGCGUCUUUA